CCAUUGAAGACUGACUACGAGUCAGACUACGAUCGCUCCGGGUGCCAGAGUGAAAGCCCUGGCUUGGGUACCUUCGGGUGCCCGCCAACAUUUUUGGAGAUGUCCCUUCGGUGGGAUU
This is a small nucleolar RNA of Caenorhabditis elegans, 118 nucleotides long. Lineage: Eukaryota; Metazoa; Nematoda; Chromadorea; Rhabditida; Rhabditidae. The record is from Ensembl.